GCGAAAGUGGCGGAAUUGGUAGACGCGUCAGGUUCAGGGUCUGGUGGGCGCAAGCCCGUGGGGGUUCGAGUCCCCCCUUUCGCA
RNAcentral lists this transfer RNA (84 nucleotides) under Calditrichota bacterium. RNAcentral describes it as "Calditrichaeota bacterium (bioreactor metagenome) tRNA-Leu". It matches the Rfam family "tRNA". From Rfam's summary of the family: Transfer RNA (tRNA) molecules are approximately 80 nucleotides in length. Their secondary structure includes four short double-helical elements and three loops (D, anti-codon, and T loops). Lineage: Bacteria; Pseudomonadati; Calditrichota. The record is from RNAcentral.